This 469-nucleotide ribosomal RNA is filed under the name uncultured bacterium. RNAcentral describes it as "partial 16S ribosomal RNA". It matches the Rfam family "Bacterial small subunit ribosomal RNA", at positions 28 to 507 of the family's 1533-position model. The record is from RNAcentral.
GACGAACGCUGGCGGCGUGCUUAACACAUGCAAGUCGAACGGUGAACGAGGGAGCUUGCUCCCUCCGGAUCAGUGGCGAACGGGUGAGUAACACGUGAGCAAUCUGCCCCGAACUCUGGGAUAAGCGUUGGAAACGACGUCUAAUACCGGAUACGACGCGGGAGGGCAUCCUCUCCGCGUGGAAAGAACUUCGGUUCGGGAUGAGCUCGCGGCCUAUCAGCUUGUUGGUGAGGUAACGGCUCACCAAGGCGACGACGGGUAGCCGGCCUGAGAGGGUGACCGGCCACACUGGGACUGAGACACGGCCCAGACUCCUACGGGAGGCAGCAGUGGGAAUAUUGCACAAUGGGCGCAAGCCUGAUGCAGCAACGCCGCGUGAGGGACGACGGCCUUCGGGUUGUAAACCUCUUUUAGCAGGGAAGAAGCGAAAGUGACGGUACCUGCAGAAAAAGCACCGGCUAACUACGUG